CCCUUCCCGGGACUCAGCGGCACCGAGCGACCCCGGCUGGAUCAGGACGCACCUGCGGCGUAGCGCGGCCCUCAGCCCCGGCUGGAAACUGUGUCGGGUUGGAAUUCCCGUUCCCGCAGGUGGAAACAGAAUAACAGAGAACACAAAAGAUGGAUUCCACAAGUAAUUAGACCCCAAAUAAUUCACACACAAGGUCCAUCCAAACGUUCCUCGCCGCUGGAAACUUUGGCUCCUGAGCACUCAGAGAGCUUGGGUUGAUUCAAAUACAGCUUCAUUCCUGUCCCUGAAGGAAGUAAGAAAAGAAGGCCAUCAGAAAAUAAAGGGGGACCAUAAUAACAGCAAACUCCCACAGCUUCUAUUGAUCUCAGAGAACAGCAGUGAGAUGUCCUUACAGCCACAGUGUUUUCUGAAUCUACACCACGACCUUGGAAGCAACGAUUUGGCAGUCUGACAGGGAAGCAAUGUGCCCACAGAGGGGACCUUGUGAGAAGGAGCUGGAACAGACGUGCUCAGGAGGAUGGCAGUGACGGGUUGGUGCUUGGACUUGAUGGCCUUGGAUGUCUUUUCCAACCUUAAGGAUCCUAUGGGGUCAUCAAACAGCUCUCAAGCCCAUUCCACCACACUCCAGUCACCCUGCUCAGAUAUCCCCAAAUAUUCAGACUAGUCAGCUAAUGCUAGCUGGCAAGAAUAGCAUGGACACAUCAGAAACUUGAGAGGAAGGAUGACAUGGUCAGGAGACAGCAAGAAGAAAUACUUUCCUCAGCCCUUUGAGCAAGGCCUGGCAUCAGAUUAAAGUCAGGCUUUGAGUGCACUUGUAAUUGCAUUCCUGGUUGGAAACUGAGAACUGCAUUAGCACAGCUGAAGUCAGGGGACUGCUCCAUGAAAAAAAGUUGUGUUUUUUUUCCUGGAAGAUGGAGGAGGAUAACUGAGCUGGAAGAACUGCACCAUGUCCGCUCCCAGCUCCUCAGAUGGGAGCUCUGUGGUUGUUACAAUCCACACCUCCCAGCCCACAUGUUGGGCUAUAGGAGUGCAUGGGGAAAAAAAAAGAAAAAAAAAGAUUUAUUCCUGAAGGAAUAUUUCCUACAGCUGGUGAUGAGCAGCGCUAUGACCUCCCAGUCAUAU
Non-coding RNA from Meleagris gallopavo (turkey), 1122 nucleotides. NCBI's taxonomy places the organism in Eukaryota, Metazoa, Chordata, Aves, Galliformes, Phasianidae. The record is from RefSeq and is a predicted model, not a curated record.